ACCUGCGGAAGGAUCAUUACCGAGUGAGGGCCCUUUGGGUCCAACCUCCCACCCGUGUUUAUUUUACCUUGUUGCUUCGGCGGGCCCGCCUUUACUGGCCGCCGGGGGGCUCACGCCCCCGGGCCCGCGCCCGCCGAAGACACCCCCGAACUCUGUCUGAAGAUUGAAGUCUGAGUGAAAAUAUAAAUUAUUUAAAACUUUCAACAACGGAUCUCUUGGUUCCGGCAUCGAUGAAGAACGCAGCGAAAUGCGAUACGUAAUGUGAAUUGCAAAUUCAGUGAAUCAUCGAGUCUUUGAACGCACAUUGCGCCCCCUGGUAUUCCGGGGGGCAUGCCUGUCCGAGCGUCAUUGCUGCCCUCAAGCCCGGCUUGUGUGUUGGGCCCCGUCCUCCGAUUCCGGGGGACGGGCCCGAAAGGCAGCGGCGGCACCGCGUCCGGUCCUCGAGCGUAUGGGGCUUUGUCACCCGCUCUGUAGGCCCGGCCGGCGCUUGCCGAUCAACCCAAAUUUUUAUCCAGGUUGACCUCGGAUCAGGUAGGGAUACCCGCUGAACUUAAGCAUAUC
Molecule: ribosomal RNA, 561 nt
Filed under: Penicillium sp.
Lineage: Eukaryota; Fungi; Ascomycota; Eurotiomycetes; Eurotiales; Aspergillaceae
Description: eukaryotic LSU rRNA
Rfam family: 5.8S ribosomal RNA (bases 196-348)
Source: RNAcentral